GAUGAACGCUGGCGGCGUGCCUAAUACAUGCAAGUCGAGCGAACGGACGAGAAGCUUGCUUUUCUGAUGUUAGCGGCGGACGGGUGAGUAACACGUGGAUAACCUACCUAUAAGACUGGGAUAACUUCGGGAAACCGGAGCUAAUACCGGAUAAUAUUUUGAACCGCAUGGUUCAAAAGUGAAAGACGGUCUUGCUGUCACUUAUAGAUGGAUCCGCGCUGCAUUAGCUAGUUGGUAAGGUAACGGCUUACCAAGGCAACGAUGCAUAGCCGACCUGAGAGGGUGAUCGGCCACACUGGAACUGAGACACGGUCCAGACUACUACGGGAGGCAGCAGUAGGGAAUCUUCCGCAAUGGGCGAAAGCCUGACGGAGCAACGCCGCGUGAGUGAUGAAGGUCUUCGGAUCGUAAAACUCUGUUAUUAGGGAAGAACAUAUGUGUAAGUAACUGUGCAAAUCUUGACGGUACCUAAUCAGAAAGCCACGGCUAACUACGUG
RNAcentral lists this ribosomal RNA (497 nucleotides) under uncultured bacterium. RNAcentral describes it as "partial 16S ribosomal RNA". It matches the Rfam family "Bacterial small subunit ribosomal RNA", at positions 28 to 507 of the family's 1533-position model. The record is from RNAcentral.